RNAcentral lists this long non-coding RNA (1940 nucleotides) under Nicotiana tabacum (common tobacco). RNAcentral describes it as "long non-coding RNA (NTAB_LNC010850)". Lineage: Eukaryota; Viridiplantae; Streptophyta; Magnoliopsida; Solanales; Solanaceae. The record is from RNAcentral.
UGAUUUUAUGUGUUUACAAAUAUUUUAUACUAAUUUGGAAGAAACUUGGAUUUAUUAAUGAAAUUUUCAGUUCUUCUUGUCCAAAUGGAGCCCAAUUUCAAACCCACCACCAAAGGCCCAAGUUCAAGACCCUUCUUCUUCAUAACCUACACAAGACAAACCCUAGAGGACAACUUUAGGACCCAUGGCUACCUUAUUCAACCCUUGAGCACACUACAAGGACCCCUGAACCCUAGACACAAGCAGCCGCAUCUCCACCCACCUUCACUGAACUAGUAGCUCGCCGAAAACUACCGCCAACCACUCCUUCAUCUUCUUCUUCAUCUCCAAGCCACAUCAACGCCAGCGACUCUCAAUCAGUCGACCAGCCAGCUGCCCACCAACCUAACGCUAUCAACGACCACCCAAGCUUCUUCUUCAACAUGAAAAGAAUCAAAAGCAGCUGAACAAAAAGCCAUCAGAGACCAAAAUCUAAAAAAAAUCAUCUGUCUUCAUCUUCAACCUUGGAUAGCCAUUUUCUUUGGUCACAUAUGUAAGAUUAGUGAACAAAAAAAGAUAAACUUAUUGUAAUAUUACAUCACUGUAGCAUAUCCUGAAGAAAAUAGAAGCGUUGGAUGCGUCAGUUAACUAGUCGUUAUUUUAGUUCUGUCCUAAGUCCGAUUUCGAAUUUUAGCUUCUUCGUCUGAUUUCUAAUCUUGAAACCAUGGAAUCUGACUGAAUUUGAUGGAAGUCGUUUUGGUUUCGAGCUUCCGGCACCGAUUCGAGUUUACGACUACGGUUCUGGCAUUUUUGUUGUGAAGUUGCCAUACAAUGAAACUUCAGGUUCAUUGAGGUCUAUUUCUCAUUUCCCUUCUACUCCUUGUUUUCUUAACAUCAUGCUCUUAUUAUUUGGUUAAUCUAUUAUUAUUCUGUCUUUGAACGUCAUUUUGUUGUUAUUGCUGUUUAGUUUAAUAUGUUUGGAUGAAUUUUGAUUGUUAGAGUGAGUUUUGAUUCCAUAUUUAAUUGUUACAGUUACUAUUCAGAUGACAAAAGGAUUAAUUAUACAUAUAUAAGUAGAUUGAUUGGAGUUCUGUAUUGAAUAUGGGGUUUUGGACAUAUAGAAUGGGAAAUUAAAUUCAUCACAUUAAUAGUUUUAUUUUAUUUGCUUGAAAUCGCUAGCAGCAUGCUUAGGCCAACCACACUAGGGUAGGCAAGCCUUAGGAUUUUGUUAGUUUCGAGGCGAGGGGUCGUUCCCUUAGUUAAAUUUAUCUGGGGAAUGCCCCGAGGGAUUUGUAUAUAUUUUUUUGCAGGGGCAUGCCCCGAAGUGAAUGUAAUUGGAAGUCGUGGCAAACAUCGCAGAAGAAAUAGCGUAGGAUAAUUUAGAACUUUAAUUUUUCUUCUUUUAAUUUUCUUUUAUUUAGGUGGGGACGACUUCGAGCCUCUUUUGAUUGUUUAUUUUCUUUUUGUGUGUUAUUACCUCAAUUUGAAUGUUUCAAAAGCCAACUUGAUCGAGUAUGCAACCGUACUAGUUACGGGACUUGGGGAGUGCUUAACACCUUCUCCCCGAGUCAAAUGAAUCCCCUUACCCGAAUCUCUGGUGCAGAUUUAGUUAUGGAGUUUCAAGUGUUUUGAAAGGAAAAAAAUCAUUUUUAGAAAAAUGAUGACCUGACAUACCGAAAUCAAUGUCAGGUGGCGACUCUGAGUUAAUCCUUUUGAACAUAAAUUUUUGUCACUUUUUAUUUAAAAAAUCCUUUUGAGCUUUACGAAUCCUUUUAUUAUUUAUAAGAGGGUUAGUGAAGUUGGUGAAAAAAGGUGUGACAACGUUCUUGAAUUCUUUUCGUGUGAAUCUGUUGAUUUUGGUAACUAAACUUCUGUUAUUCUAUUCUCUCACAAAGGGUGAGGACAUGUACUACUGGGCAGGACGGAGAGCCACCAAUACCACCAGCUAGGGCCGCGAGAGG